RNAcentral lists this ribosomal RNA (187 nucleotides) under uncultured bacterium. RNAcentral describes it as "partial 16S ribosomal RNA". It matches the Rfam family "Bacterial small subunit ribosomal RNA", at positions 1308 to 1500 of the family's 1533-position model. The record is from RNAcentral.
CAACUCGACUCCAUGAAGCUGGAUUCGCUAGUAAUCGCGCAUCAGCCAUGGCGCGGUGAAUACGUUCCCGGGCCUUGUACACACCGCCCGUCAAGCCAUGGGAGUCGGGAGUGCCUGAAGUUCGAGACCGUCACAGGAGCGACCUAAGGCAAGACCGAUGACUGGGGCUAAGUCGUAACAAGGUAAC